GAAAUUCAUUCAUUAAUGAGUAAUCAUGACAUUACAAGGGGUCAUAAAAUGAUGAAUUCGGGUUAGUUACUAAGCUAUUAUUAAGAGUUCUUGAGAGGGUCCGAAUAGUUCUUAUGGAGAUUUAUCCAAGAUGACUUACAUCCUCUGGAACUCUGGUUUCUACCUCAAGACGUCCCUCUUUCCAUUCGUUGCUAUUUCAAUUCCCUGAAGAAUUUUCCGUAUGUGGAUUUACGCCGAAAAAUGGAAUUCGGAGCAAAGAUUGCCAACAAGUGGAUUACUGGCAAUUGCUGGAUGGCAAGCAAUAGGAUACAGGGAAUAACUUCGGUAGCCCAAUGCAAAUAUUCAGUCAGACCAUCACUCAAGAGGCAAGCUCAUCAGCAAAGACGAAAUUGUUCCUCUUGCUUCAAAAGUACUUCCAUAAAACAAAUGUGAACAUUAUUAUUAUUUUUUGUGUAUUAAUGACAAUUUGAAAAUAAAAUUGAUUAUUUAGUUAA
This is a long non-coding RNA of Harmonia axyridis, 494 nucleotides long. RefSeq lists it as uncharacterized. NCBI's taxonomy places the organism in Eukaryota, Metazoa, Arthropoda, Insecta, Coleoptera, Coccinellidae. The record is from RefSeq and is a predicted model, not a curated record. The transcript has 3 exons.